RNAcentral lists this ribosomal RNA (525 nucleotides) under uncultured bacterium. RNAcentral describes it as "partial 23S ribosomal RNA". It matches the Rfam family "Bacterial large subunit ribosomal RNA", at positions 864 to 1373 of the family's 2925-position model. The record is from RNAcentral.
ACCUAUGGACGUAGGGGGUUAUUUUUUAGGUAGUGUGGUAAAGAAAACUUAUGGGGAUUUUAUCAAAAAAACCUAUUUGAACCUUAUAAUACAUUAUUUUAAAUAAUAAUACUCAGACUAAUGGCGCAAAGGUCUUUAGUCAAGAGGGAAACAGCCCUGAUUAUAUGCUAAGGUGUGUAAUUACUGCUAAUUAAAAAGAAUUGAUUAUAAACAUCCUAAUCCUAGGUGGGCUUGGAAGCAGCCAUCCUUUAAAGAAAGUGUAACAACUCAUGAUUAGGGGAGAUUUUAGUGAAUAAUAAAUUAUUUUUUAAUUGGUUCUACGAUGUUAACAAUAAGCAGUAAACCGAAGCAAUAAAUAUAGAUGAUGCAUCUAUAUGGUAGCGGAAUGUGGUGUAUUUUUUAGAAGAAAAGUUGUUAAACUUUUUUGGAGAAAUCACUAUUAUAUAUGCUAGUAUUAGUAACUAGAUAUAAUGUGAAAACCAUUAUUGCUAUAUGUUUUAGGGUUACUUUGUAUUGAUAAUCUUA